AACAUCGCGCACCUGCGGGAACCUGCGGAGGGAUCAUUAUCGAGUUUACAACUCCCAAACCCCUGUGAACAUACCAAUCGUUGCCUCGGCGGGACCGCCCCCGGCGCCCCCGGGCCCGGACCCAGGCGCCCGCCGGAGGACCCCCAAACUCACUUGAUUCCACGGUGUAUCUUCUGAGUGACACAAGCAAAUAAAAUCAAAACUUUUAACAACGGAUCU
This 219-nucleotide unclassified non-coding RNA is filed under the name soil metagenome. RNAcentral's name for it is "partial contains 5.8S ribosomal RNA, internal transcribed spacer 2, and large subunit ribosomal RNA". The record is from RNAcentral.